GACAAAUGCCCUGCUUCCAGGAAAAGCCUCUAAGCAUCAGGUAACAUCAAAUCGUACCCCAAACCGACACAGGUGGUCAGGUAGAGAAUACCAAGGCGCUUGAGAGAACUCGGGUGAAGGAACUAGGCAAAAUGGUGCCGUAACUUCGGGAGAAGGCACGCUGAUAUGUAGGUGAAGCGACUUGCUCGUGGAGCUGAAAUCAGUCGAAGAUACCAGCUGGCUGCAACUGUUUAUUAAAAACACAGCACUGUGCAAACACGAAAGUGGACGUAUACGGUGUGACGCCUGCCCGGUGCCGGAAGGUUAAUUGAUGGGGUUAGCGGUAACGCGAAGCUCUUGAUCGAAGCCCCGGUAAACGGCGGCCGUAACUAUAACGGUCCUAAGGUAGCGAAAUUCCUUGUCGGGUAAGUUCCGACCUGCACGAAUGGCGUAAUGAUGGCCAGGCUGUCUCCACCCGAGACUCAGUGAAAUUGAACUCGCUGUGAAGAUGCAGUGUACCCGCGGCAAGACGGAAAGACCCCGUGAACCUUUACUAUAGCUUGACACUGAACAUUGAGCCUUGAUGUGUAGGAUAGGUGGGAGGCUUUGAAGUGUGGACGCCAGUCUGCAUGGAGCCGACCUUGAAAUACCACCCUUUAAUGUUUGAUGUUCUAACGUUGGCCCGUAAUCCGGGUUGCGGACAGUGUCUGGUGGGUAGUUUGACUGGGGCGGUCUCCUCCUAAAGAGUAACGGAGGAGCACGAAGGUUGGCUAAUCCUGGUCGGACAUCAGGAGGUUAGUGCAAUGGCAUAAGCCAGCUUGACUGCGAGCGUGACGGCGCGAGCAGGUGCGAAAGCAGGUCAUAGUGAUCCGGUGGUUCUGAAUGGAAGGGCCAUCGCUCAACGGAUAAAAGGUACUCCGGGGAUAACAGGCUGAUACCGCCCAAGAGUUCAUAUCGACGGCGGUGUUUGGCACCUCGAUGUCGGCUCAUCACAUCCUGGGGCUGAAGUAGGUCCCAAGGGUAUGGCUGUUCGCCAUUUAAAGUGGUACGCGAGCUGGGUUUAGAACGUCGUGAGACAGUUCGGUCCCUAUCUGCCGUGGGCGCUGGAGAACUGAGGGGGGCUGCUCCUAGUACGAGAGGACCGGAGUGGACGCAUCACUGGUGUUCGGGUUGUCAUGCCAAUGGCACUGCCCGGUAGCUAAAUGCGGAAGAGAUAAGUGCUGAAAGCAUCUAAGCACGAAACUUGCCCCGAGAUGAGUUCUCCCUGACUCCUUGAGAGUCCUGAAGGAACGUUGAAGACGACGACGUUGAUAGGCCGGGUGUGUAAGCGCAGCGAUGCGUUGAGCUAACCGGUACUAAUGAACCGUGAGGCUUAACCUUACAACGCCGAAG
Molecule: ribosomal RNA, 1371 nt
Filed under: Escherichia coli
Lineage: Bacteria; Pseudomonadati; Pseudomonadota; Gammaproteobacteria; Enterobacterales; Enterobacteriaceae
Description: partial 23S ribosomal RNA
Rfam family: Bacterial large subunit ribosomal RNA
Source: RNAcentral